This 482-nucleotide ribosomal RNA is filed under the name uncultured bacterium. RNAcentral describes it as "bacterial SSU rRNA". It matches the Rfam family "Bacterial small subunit ribosomal RNA", at positions 28 to 507 of the family's 1533-position model. The record is from RNAcentral.
GAUGAACGCUAGCGGCAGGCCUAAUACAUGCAAGUCGAACGAUACUUAGGAGCUUGCUCUUAAGGAAAGUGGCGCACGGGUGCGUAACGCGUAUGCAACCUACCUUAAUCAGGGGGAUAGCCCGAAGAAAUUCGGAUUAACACCGCAUAAAAACACAGGAUAGCAUUAUCCAAUGUUCAAAUAUUUAUAGGAUUAAGAUGGGCAUGCGUGUCAUUAGCUAGUUGGCGGGGUAACGGCCCACCAAGGCGACGAUGACUAGGGGAUCUGAGAGGAUGACCCCCCACACUGGUACUGAGACACGGACCAGACUCCUACGGGAGGCAGCAGUAAGGAAUAUUGGUCAAUGGAGGCAACUCUGAACCAGCCAUGCCGCGUGCAGGAAGACAGCCCUCUGGGUCGUAAACUGCUUUUAUUCGGGAAUAAACCUAUCUACGUGUAGAUAGCUGAAUGUACCGAAGGAAUAAGGAUCGGCUAACUCCGUG